AGUUCGCCACGUUGACAGGGAAGGAGGACAGCCUUUCCUCGGGCCACACACACCUGGGACCUCCUGCGUGUCAUCUGGGAGCGUCACUGAGGGAGCCUUGAGAGCGGGGCCUCGGACGGGGCCGUGCACACCCCACUGCUUCACUCGCUGGACACAAACCCCUGGCACCCGGAGCCCCCGUGGUGGCGUCCACACCCGCACCCUGGACACUCCCGCCGCCACCACCACCCCCACCCUGGUCAGGCCCCAUGAAGGCUGCUGGUGUUCUCAGGACCAAGGAGAAAGCAAGCAACUGCAAUACUCUAGGAUGACCUAAAUACGAAGGACUGUGACAGCACCUCACCCAGCCAGUCCAGGUGGGAAAGCCGCCUGAAGAAGUUGCAGUCUGAAACGUGCAAAGUGUCCGGGGGACAGAGGUGCACCUGCUACAAAAGGGGCCCGACACCUGCCCCCACGUGGACAGACCCUGAGAACGCCGGGCUCAGGGAGGGGACCCAGACCCAGAAGGACACCUCCUGCAGGACCCCACUCCCAGGACGUCCCCAGAGGAGGCCCGUCCACAGAGACAGAGAGGAGGUGGUGGGAGCCGGGGAGGGGGGAGGGGGGUGGUCCCUGUGGAGAGAUGGAAGGUUCUGGAGACGGUGGGGGGGAUGCACGGCGGGGUGAGUGUGCUUCGUGCUCUGAGCUGUGCGCUUAGAAACAACUAAGUGGUAAAUUUUAUGUGAUGUGUACUUUACCGCAAUAAAAUAGAUAAAUGCAAGUUUAUGAAGCCAUAAGGGUUGGGGACAGCACGGGCUUCGGGGAUGAGACCUGUGCAGUCACCCAGAGCCUCAGGCUCCAAAGAGCCCCUCCCAUGGUUUAUUGCUGGGGGGGGGGGCAAUCGUCCUGAAUUCCUAAUAAUUUUUGAACAAGGGGCGCCGUAUUUGCGUAUUUUCCAUUUAAACUGGGAUCUGUAAAUUGCAUGGCCACUCGUGGUUCACGGAAUGGACAGGGAAACGCCAAGUUCAGGGUCCAGGGCACUGGGGUUGCUGAGAACUUGCCAGUCUGUCUGGACCCCACCCUGAGCGGAGAGAGUGAGACGCAGUCAGGAAGUGGGCUCCUGAGAGCCUGAGGAAGGAAGUGGGGGGCACUUGACAUGAAAAUAGCACCACUGGCCCAGCUGAUGGGGUAGGGGGGGCAGGGAGGACCUGGGGAGGGAGCCUGGAGCCCCAGCCCUCUGCUUGCCCCUAGCCCACCCGCCCCUCCUGCCCCUCCUGCCCCUCCGCCACCCCCCCCCCCCCGCCCUCCUCCCUCCUGCCCCACCGCAGCAGUGGGGCUUAGAAGCAGAAAGACAAGUGCUGGGAGGUGCACCUGGGGCUGGUGUGCCUCGGGCUCUUGGAGCAACAGGACCACAGGACACCUAAGACAGGAGGACGGGUAAACGGACGGAGGGACGGACGGAUUUCUUAUGAGGAAUUGGCCCCUGCAGCUGCGGAGGCUGAGCGUUCCUAUCUGCCACCUGCAGCUGACAGGGUCCGGGCGGGCCCAGCCCCAGGGCUCAGGCGGAGGGGGCACCUGCUCUUCCCAGGCUAACCAAGUCGUAUCCUAAUGGCAUCCAGACGUACCCAAAAAUAAUAGUUAAAAAUGCAAAUCCCACUCAUUCACUGCAGGGUGUGAACAUCUGACACCCCCACCCCCCACCCCCGCUCAGGGGGAGUGAAGCUGCGGA
RNAcentral lists this long non-coding RNA (1708 nucleotides) under Canis lupus familiaris (dog). Its description in RNAcentral is "lncRNA (ENSCAFG00040004612.1)". Lineage: Eukaryota; Metazoa; Chordata; Mammalia; Carnivora; Canidae. The record is from RNAcentral.